UGUGUGUGUUAGUGGAAGCGUCUGGAAAGGCGCGCGAUACAGGGUGACAGCCCCGUACACAAAAAUGCACAUACUGUGAGCUCGAUGAGUAGGGCGGGACACGUGGUAUCCUGUCUGAAUAUGGGGGGACCAUCCUCCAAGGCUAAAUACUCCUGACUGACCGAUAGUGAACCAGUACCGUGAGGGAAAGGCGAAAAGAACCCCGGCGAGGGGAGUGAAAAAGAACCUGAAACCGUGUACGUACAAGCAGUGGGAGCCUCUUAAUGGGGUGACUGCGUACCUUUUGUAUAAUGGGUCAGCGACUUAUAUUCUGUAGCAAGGUUAACCGAAUAGGGGAGCCGAAGGGAAACCGAGUCUUAACUGGGCGUUAAGUUGCAGGGUAUAGACCCGAAACCCGGUGAUCUAGCCAUGGGCAGGUUGAAGGUUGGGUAACACUAACUGGAGGACCGAACCGACUAAUGUUGAAAAAUUAGCGGAUGACUUGUGGCUGGGGGUGAAAGGCCAAUCAAACCGGGAGAUAGCUGGUUCUCCCCGAAAGCUAUUUAGGUAGCGCCUCGUGAAUUCAUCUCCGGGGGUAGAGCACUGUUUCGGCAAGGGGGUCAUCCCGACUUACCAACCCGAUGCAAACUGCGAAUACCGGAGAAUGUUAUCACGGGAGACACACGGCGGGUGCUAACGUCCGUCGUGAAGAGGGAAACAACCCAGACCGCCAGCUAAGGUCCCAAAGUCAUGGUUAAGUGGGAAACGAUGUGGGAAGGCCCAGACAGCCAGGAUGUUGGCUUAGAAGCAGCCAUCAUUUAAAGAAAGCGUAAUAGCUCACUGGUCGAGUCGGCCUGCGCGGAAGAUGUAACGGGGCUAAACCAUGCACCGAAGCUGCGGCAGCGACACUAUGUGUUGUUGGGUAGGGGAGCGUUCUGUAAGCCUGUGAAGGUGUACUGUGAGGUAUGCUGGAGGUAUCAGAAGUGCGAAUGCUGACAUAAGUAACGAUAAAGCGGGUGAAAAGCCCGCUCGCCGGAAGACCAAGGGUUCCUGUCCAACGUUAAUCGGGGCAGGGUGAGUCGACCCCUAAGGCGAGGCCGAAAGGCGUAGUCGAUGGGAAACAGGUUAAUAUUCCUGUACUUGGUGUUACUGCGAAGGGGGGACGGAGAAGGCUAUGUUGGCCGGGCGACGGUUGUCCCGGUUUAAGCGUGUAGGCUGGUUUUCCAGGCAAAUCCGGAAAAUCAAGGCUGAGGCGUGAUGACGAGGCACUACGGUGCUGAAGCAACAAAUGCCCUGCUUCCAGGAAAAGCCUCUAAGCAUCAGGUAACAUCAAAUCGUACCCCAAACCGACACAGGUGGUCAGGUAGAGAAUACCAAGGCGCUUGAGAGAACUCGGGUGAAGGAACUAGGCAAAAUGGUGCCGUAACUUCGGGAGAAGGCACGC
RNAcentral lists this ribosomal RNA (1423 nucleotides) under Escherichia coli. RNAcentral describes it as "partial 23S ribosomal RNA". It matches the Rfam family "Bacterial large subunit ribosomal RNA", at positions 321 to 1751 of the family's 2925-position model. The record is from RNAcentral. Lineage: Bacteria; Pseudomonadati; Pseudomonadota; Gammaproteobacteria; Enterobacterales; Enterobacteriaceae.